UGCCUUGUAAAGCAUUUCCGGCUAGAGCAAAACAUCUACCAGGCCCUGCAAGUCACAUGAUGGGCAUUUGAAAACUGGCUCACAUUUUGGUUGCAGUGUCC
Notechis scutatus (mainland tiger snake) is the source of this 101-nucleotide non-coding RNA. The record is from RefSeq and is a predicted model, not a curated record. NCBI's taxonomy places the organism in Eukaryota, Metazoa, Chordata, Lepidosauria, Squamata, Elapidae.